CUCUAGUGGCCCACAAUUUUUCCCCCCAUGAGCUUCCACUGCCUUCCAUUCACUUAAUUUGUUUGUUUCUUCUUUUUUUUUUUUCAUUUUCGGCUCUGUUUUGGCUGGGGGAUUCGAAGAGAAGGAAGCAACGAGAGAGAGAGAGAGAGAGAGAGGGAGAGUAGAGACGGGAAGAGCAAAGCAAGGGGAUGACAGAGGGCUCAAAAUUGUGUUCGCAUAAGAGGAAGAAGAAGAAAGAAGAGUUAAGAGGAGGUAGGAACAGUUGACAGACUGAUUUGGGUAAGGGCAUUAGGAGAACGACCUAAGAGGGAGUUGAGCUUGAAAUUGAAUUUAUCAUCCAUGGUGUUUAGGGAUUAUGGAGAUUGAGCUUUGCAUCUCGAAGAAUCGACCUAAUGAAAUAUUUUGGGUGUUCGACCCGAAUAUGGACUCUCAUCGAGACCUACAUGCGCGCUUUUGGAUCGCGCGGCUAAGGAGUGUCCACCUUCCCGGCGAUGUGUGAC
Non-coding RNA from Punica granatum (pomegranate), 500 nucleotides. NCBI's taxonomy places the organism in Eukaryota, Viridiplantae, Streptophyta, Magnoliopsida, Myrtales, Lythraceae. The record is from RefSeq and is a predicted model, not a curated record.